CCGAGUUAUCAAAAACUCCAAAACCCUUUGUGAACCUUACUGCUGUUGCCUCGGCGCGAGCUGCGUCUACCCUGUAGCUACCCUGCAAAACUACCCUGUAGUUGCGCACGGGGUAGCCACCCGGUAGCGCGUCUAAAAGCCCGCCGGUGGACCACUAAACUCUGUUUUUAUUAUCAUGUAUCUCUGAAUGCUUCAACUGAAAUAAGUUA
RNAcentral lists this unclassified non-coding RNA (209 nucleotides) under uncultured Xylariales. Its description in RNAcentral is "sequence contains ITS1". Lineage: Eukaryota; Fungi; Ascomycota; Sordariomycetes; Xylariales. The record is from RNAcentral.